RNAcentral lists this microRNA precursor (146 nucleotides) under Lotus japonicus. RNAcentral describes it as "miR11108s stem-loop (lja-MIR11108s)". Lineage: Eukaryota; Viridiplantae; Streptophyta; Magnoliopsida; Fabales; Fabaceae. The record is from miRBase by way of RNAcentral.
UGAGAAAGUUUGGGUUAAAUAACCUAUCAUUCAAUCACAUUGAAGAUAAGUGAGUUGGAAAUAAAUUAAUAAAUAAAAUAUAGAAAUUCCAACUCACUGAUCUUCAAUGUGAUUUGAUGAUGAGUUAUUUAAUCCAAACUUUAUCA